RNAcentral lists this unclassified non-coding RNA (203 nucleotides) under uncultured fungus. Its description in RNAcentral is "sequence contains ITS1, 5.8S rRNA gene". The record is from RNAcentral. Lineage: Eukaryota; Fungi.
UCACGUUCCAAACGUUUAUCAACCAACGCGAAAACUCAAACCAUUAUUCGAUUAAUUUUUCUACUAACAAAUUCAUUUUUGUUGGUUGGAAAGAAUAAUUGAAUCUUGAUUUACCAUCAAAACCUUUUUAAUUUAAUUACUGAAAUUGUUUUCAUUCUCUUUUAAUUAAGAGAAGAAAAUCAAAAAAAUUACGAAACAAAGAA